AUUCCCUCCUGCUGAGUUGUGCCGCUAUUUAAUUGGGGAAUGUUAUCGCCAAGUGGAUUUGAUGUCUCUCCUACCGCUCCUUGAGUAUUCUUCGCUCGUCGUGGAGGCAUAUUGACCUAUGAUAGAUUUGAGAUAAUAACUUAUCCUUAAUAAGGUUAUAACUUACUUGUGACAGGUCAAAUCAUAAUCAUCAUAACUAACCUUUCAAUUUCCUAAUAUCUACCCAUCACUCACUCACUCUAUUCUACAUGUGUCUAUCUAUCU
Molecule: long non-coding RNA, 264 nt
Filed under: Elaeis guineensis (African oil palm)
Lineage: Eukaryota; Viridiplantae; Streptophyta; Magnoliopsida; Arecales; Arecaceae
Description: long non-coding RNA (EGUI_LNC078346)
Source: RNAcentral